UACGAAGGGGGCUAGCGUUGUUCGGAAUCACUGGGCGUAAAGGGCGCGUAGGCGGCCGAUCAAGUCGGGGGUGAAAGCCUGUGGCUCAACCACAGAAUUGCCUUCGAUACUGUUUGGCUUGAGACCGGAAGAGGUAAGUGGAACUGCGAGUGUAGAGGUGAAAUUCGUAGAUAUUCGUAAGAACACCAGUGGCGAAGGCGGCUUACUGGUCCGGUUCUGACGCUGAGGCGCGAAAGCGUGGGGAGCAAACAGG
RNAcentral lists this ribosomal RNA (253 nucleotides) under uncultured bacterium. RNAcentral describes it as "partial 16S ribosomal RNA". It matches the Rfam family "Bacterial small subunit ribosomal RNA", at positions 524 to 776 of the family's 1533-position model. The record is from RNAcentral.